This 480-nucleotide ribosomal RNA is filed under the name uncultured bacterium. Its description in RNAcentral is "partial 16S ribosomal RNA". It matches the Rfam family "Bacterial small subunit ribosomal RNA", at positions 28 to 507 of the family's 1533-position model. The record is from RNAcentral.
GACGAACGCUGGCGGCGUGCUUAACACAUGCAAGUCGAACGAUGAAGAAAAGAAUCGAAGCUUCGGCAGAAAUUCAUUUCGGAUUAGUGGCAGACGGGUGAGUAACGCGUGAGCAACCUACCUCUUACAAAGGGAUAGCCUCGGGAAACCGGGAUUAAUACCAUAUAACAUUGCGACGAAGCAUUUCGAUGCAAUCAAAGCUAUGGCGGUAAGAGAUGGGCUCGCGUCCCAUUAACCGGAUGGUGAGGUAACGGCUCACCAUAGUGACGAUGGGUAACCGGCCUGAGAGGGUGAACGGUCACACUGGAACUGAGACACGGUCCAGACUCCUACGGGAGGCAGCAGUGGGGAAUAUUGCACAAUGGAGGGAACUCUGAUGCAGCGACGCCGCGUGAGUGAUGAAGGAAUUCGUUUCGUAAAACUCUGUUCUAUGGGAAGAAAAGGACUGUACCAUAGGAGAAAGCGCCGGCUAAAUACGUG